This 409-nucleotide long non-coding RNA is filed under the name Fukomys damarensis (Damara mole-rat). RNAcentral describes it as "lncRNA (ENSFDAG00000025683.1)". The record is from RNAcentral. Lineage: Eukaryota; Metazoa; Chordata; Mammalia; Rodentia; Bathyergidae.
GGCAGAUGGAUUUUUGUUUUAAGGUUCUCCUUAGGACACAUAGCUCCUGCCUCAAUAGACACCAAACUGCAACCAGAAUCUCCUUUCUCGCACAGGUUUGGCACAAGGGUCAGCAAGGCUACACCAGCCUUUGAAAUAGGGAGGAGGGAAUAGAGAGAUGAGAAGAGAAUGUAAAUGCCGGGAAUCGGAGAAUUGUAGGUCUUUUUGCAAACGUCUUCCACAAAAUGUUCUUCUGUGAUAUUUUAAACAAAUGUCAUGCAGGUCUAGCUGGACUCCGCCCCGAGACAGAGAACCCUAACCUGGUGGGGUCACCGAGAGCCAGUGGCCUGGAGACACAAGGACAGCUACUAUCAUUCUCCAGUGGCAAAUGAGGCUCCAGUCAUCAAGCUAAAGUUCACACAGCUGGCCA